Molecule: ribosomal RNA, 320 nt
Filed under: uncultured bacterium
Lineage: Bacteria
Description: bacterial SSU rRNA
Rfam family: Bacterial small subunit ribosomal RNA
Source: RNAcentral
UGACGGUACCUGACUAAGAAGCUCCGGCUAAAUACGUGCCAGCAGCCGCGGUAAUACGUAUGGAGCAAGCGUUAUCCGGAUUUACUGGGUGUAAAGGGUGCGUAGGCGGCAUGGCAAGUCAGAUGUGAAAGACCGGGGCUCAACUCCGGGGCUGCAUUUGAAACUGCCAGGCUUGAGUACAGGAGAGGCAGGCGGAAUUCCUAGUGUAGCGGUGAAAUGCGUAGAUAUUAGGAGGAACACCAGUGGCGAAGGCGGCUUACUGGACUGUAACUGACGUUGAGGCUCGAAAGCGUGGGGAGCAAACAGGAUUAGAUACCCUG